AUUGAACGCUGGCGGCAGGCCUAAGACAUGCAAGUCGAGCGAGAAAGCCCUUCGGGGUGAGUACAGCGGCGGACGGGUGAGUAACGCGUAGGAAUCUACCCAGUAGUGGGGGACAACUAGUGGAAACGCUAGCUAAUACCGCAUACGCCCUAAGGGGGAAAGCGGGGGACCUUCGGGCCUCGUGCUAUUGGAUGAGCCUGCGUAAGAUUAGCUUGUUGGUGAGGUAAUGGCUCACCAAGGCGACGAUCUUUAGCUGGUCUGAGAGGAUGAUCAGCCACACCGGGACUGAGACACGGCCCGGACUCCUACGGGAGGCAGCAGUCGGGAAUAUUGCGCAAUGGGCGAAAGCCUGACGCAGCCAUGCCGCGUGUGUGAAGAAGGCCCUAGGGUUGUAAAGCACUUUCAAUUGGGAGGAAAAGCUAAUGGUUAAUAACCAUUAGCCCUGACGUUACCUUUAGAAGAAGCACCGGCUAACUCCGUGCCAGCAGCCGCGGUAAUACGGAGGGUGCAAGCGUUAAUCGGAAUUACUGGGCGUAAAGCGCGCGUAGGCGGUUUUUUAAGUCGGAUGUGAAAGCCCCGGGCUCAACCUGGGAACUGCAUCCGAUACUGGAUCACUAGAAUGCGGGAGAGGGAGGUAGAAUUCCAUGUGUAGCAGUGAAAUGCGUAGAUAUAUGGAGGAAUACCAGUGGCGAAGGCGGCCUCCUGGCUCGACAUUGACGCUGAGGUGCGAAAGCGUGGGGAGCAAACGGGAUUAGAUACCCCGGUAGUCCACGCCGUAAACGAUGUCUACUAGCUGUAGGGGUACUUGAGACCUUUGUAGCGCAGCUAACGCAAUAAGUAGACCGCCUGGGGAGUACGGCCGCAAGGUUAAAACUCAAAUGAAUUGACGG
This 890-nucleotide ribosomal RNA is filed under the name uncultured Gammaproteobacteria bacterium. RNAcentral's name for it is "bacterial SSU rRNA". It matches the Rfam family "Bacterial small subunit ribosomal RNA", at positions 28 to 916 of the family's 1533-position model. The record is from RNAcentral. Lineage: Bacteria; Pseudomonadati; Pseudomonadota; Gammaproteobacteria.